GCCUUGCUAGCUCAAUCGGUAGAGCGUGAGACUCUUACAUCAAGAGUUGAUUUCAAUCUCAAGGUUGCGGGUUCGACCCCCGCGUGGGGCU
Mycena vitilis is the source of this 91-nucleotide non-coding RNA. The record is from the annotation of a GenBank genome assembly. NCBI's taxonomy places the organism in Eukaryota, Fungi, Basidiomycota, Agaricomycetes, Agaricales, Mycenaceae.